GAGACAACGGUGUGCGAUCUAGGGGGUAGGUGUCGGCCGUGAGAGACCACCGGCGGGGAGGGUAAGCAGUGGUAACAGCCGCCUGUGCAUCCGGGUACGAGAAGGGGCGGGGCGGGGAAGAAGUAUAGGCUAGGGGCUUCACGAGCUCCUCCGCGAGCUCGAGCCGUACGAGCGGCCGCUGUGGCCCCGGGAGGGAGGAGGACUACGUGAGAAGCAGCGGCGAUACUCGCAGAGGUGGAAUAGGGCGCGCGGUACUUAGGAGGGAGGGGGGACGAGCUCUGCGGUAGUUCAGACCUCGUCCUCGUCGACGACGAGCGCUGGAGGUCAAGGAAGAAAGGUACCUACACGACGACGAGCCCCGGGAGGGAUACGAAGAGGAGCGAGCAUGCCCAGGUCCCAAUCGACGAGUCCUCGGUACCACACAAGGCACACCGCGACGGAAGCGCCGGCGUCGGCAACAACACAGAGCACACAGCGCCGUCGGUUACCCCAGCCCUUCCAGACUCUGACCUCCAGGGACGAGCGGUUGAGUGUCUGCGGGACUUACCAAGUCUAAAAGACUUCCUCUUCCUCCACGGCUUUCCCCUACCCUCGUUGUUCUCAGACUUAGAUUCUCAGUUUCUUCAGCUUGGACUUCUUCACGUCCCUUCUUAAUAUCAACGCACACCGACCGACCAAGUCCCCUUAAAGUCCCGCCCGCGCCGCCGCGCCCACGGCCUCGUCCGAGGAUCCGUGACCGCUAGACAGCCUGCCUAUAAUCUUUGCUUCCACUCCAACAUAGAACAAUCCACCCAGAAGUAACCGGCAGCUUUAGUAUGGACCGGUUAGACUACCCCGACGGCAGCUUUAGUAUGGACCGGUUAGACUACCCCGACGGAUGACGAGGUCUUGAGUACGUCUACUACGUAUUAUUAGAACAACAUCGGACCGGCUAGGCACUUAUAAACUAACAUCCACUUCCUCCUCGCCGGCGGGUGAGCUGCCACGCCACAUCCCGCCGCUCCCUCCGGCCGUCCCUCCGGAGUUACGCCACGUCCUGCCGCUCCCUUGGCAGGUCGCUCCGCUGCUACGCUACGUCCCUAGGUCCGGCGGCACGUCCCUCCGCUGUCCUGACGACUCGAAGCAGAGCCCGCCACCGCUCCUUUCCGUCCCUCACCCCGGUCCCUGUGCUAAUCCAAGCCAAAGGAAAAAACGCUCAACCAAUCUACCAAUCUAAUCGCACUAAACUCCCCGACGCCUACGCCCUGCCUCUCAAAGUAUAAAAGGAGAACACCUCAUGCCAGUCAGAUAACUUUGACGAUUCGCGUAUGGUCUAGAACUUAUUUAAUUACUACUGACAACCUAACCCAGCACACCCGAAGUAGGAUACCACGACUACACAGACAUAUGCAAAACGCCCCACGUACAUCCUUUCAAGAACAAACUAACAAAUUAUCAUCACCUCUACGUGGCCAAACUUAGUGCCUUAAGGGUAAAACAAGUUCUUAGAUGAGGAAAAUAUUUCUUUAUAUUCUCGC
This 1517-nucleotide ribosomal RNA is filed under the name Triticum aestivum (bread wheat). Its description in RNAcentral is "partial small subunit ribosomal RNA". Lineage: Eukaryota; Viridiplantae; Streptophyta; Magnoliopsida; Poales; Poaceae. The record is from RNAcentral.